RNAcentral lists this ribosomal RNA (425 nucleotides) under uncultured bacterium. RNAcentral's name for it is "partial 16S ribosomal RNA". It matches the Rfam family "Bacterial small subunit ribosomal RNA", at positions 354 to 796 of the family's 1533-position model. The record is from RNAcentral.
GUGGGGAAUCUUGCGCAAUGGGCGAAAGCCUGACGCAGCCAUGCCGCGUGAAUGAUGAAGGCCUUAGGGUUGUAAAGAUCUUUCAGUGGGGAAGAUAAUGACUGUACCCACAGAAGAAGCCCCGGCUAACUCCGUGCCAGCAGCCGCGGUAAUACGGAGGGGGCUAGCGUUGUUCGGAAUUACUGGGCGUAAAGCGCACGUAGGCGGAACAGAAAGUCAGAGGUGAAAGCCCAGGGCUCAACAUUGGAAUUGCCUUUGAUACUGGCUGUCUUGAGUUUGGGAGAGGUGAGUGGAACUCCGAGUGUAGAGGUGAAAUUCGUAGAUAUUCGGAAGAACACCAGUGGCGAAGGCGACUCACUGGCCCAAUACUGACGCUGAGGCGCGAAAGCGUGGGGAGCAAACAGGAUUAGAAACCCGUGUAGUCC